UACGGGAGGCAGCAGUGGGGAAUCUUGCACAAUGGAGGAAACUCUGAUGCAGCGAUGCCGCGUGAGUGAAGAAGGCUUUUGGGUCGUAAAGCUCUUUCGUCGGGGAAGAAAAUGACUGUACCCGAGUAAGAAGGUCCGGCUAACUUCGUGCCAGCAGCCGCGGUAAU
RNAcentral lists this ribosomal RNA (167 nucleotides) under uncultured bacterium. Its description in RNAcentral is "partial 16S ribosomal RNA". It matches the Rfam family "Bacterial small subunit ribosomal RNA", at positions 340 to 524 of the family's 1533-position model. The record is from RNAcentral.